UCAGCCUCCUGGCCGCUAGGAUUAUACAGGUAUGUGCCAUUACGCCCAGCCAUAAUUUCUUACUUAAGGAUUUCUGUUUUAAUUUAAGCAUAAACCUAUAAAAAACAUCUCAUUUAAUGAAGAGCAUAGUAACAUUCCCAUUCAUCAGGAACCAAGGCAAGAGGUGGAAAUAAGAUAACUGAUUAGAGGUACACAGCACACACCUCCACAACAAAGGACCAAAACGGUGGGGAAUCAACACCUGUUUCUCUGUAGUGUUUGAAGCAUAUCAUCAGAUUGCAGUGGGGAUGUGGUAGAAAUGUUGCUGAGCAUGGAGAUACAUGGUGGCCUUAUAAAAAGGGAACUAAACACGGCACCUACUGCUCCCUGCCUCCAGAGAUCAACCCUGUACUAAGAGGGACCUGGCUCAGCAGGGAAGGGUUAAGCAGGAAGCCCCUGGCAGUCCCCACUUGUGUGUGUGACACCUGAAGGAUGUAGAGCUGGAGGGCUUUCACAGGCUCUGAGCCCACUUUGGGGAGCCACAUUGAGUUACCACGCCUUCCAAUCCUGAUGUACCACAGAGAUCUAAAGAUCACUCUAGUCUGGCAUGGUAGUGCCAUGACUGAGUCUUUUCCCCAACUCGGAUAGCAAGGCCAGUCUUCUGAGUACACAUAUCCCUGGGGUUGAGCUACACUCACCUAUUCUUUUGAAAUCUUAUCCCUUUGCCCUGUUUGGGAUAGAAUGUUCCAUCGAAACUCCCUUUGUGUGUCCCCUGUCCCCUUCUCCUGCUCUGCCUUUGGGUGUGGCCUUCCAAGAUGUCAGUCAACUACUGACAGCAGACAUCACAGAGCGAGACUCAACCCCUCCCCCAAAUCUGACCCCUUGCCUCAUUUGAAUGGCUCCUCCUCAAUAAAAGUGUCAGCAUGUGCUCGCUCGCUCGCUCUCUUUCUUUCUAAAGACCCCUAAGGUCAGAUGAGCCAUCACAGGACCCAAAGCAAAAGGUAUCUCUGUCUCUUAUAUGAUUAUUUCAUGCAGCCCAGUUCACCUGGAGUGACUCUGAAUGUUAAGUUGUGGAAUGGAAUAGGGGUGCUGCUAGACUACCACACUGCUAUACUGUGGGAGAAAGAGGCCAGCCCACAUUGUGUCUUCCCCCACUCAUCUUGAGACCCCAAGAGAUCCCCAAGAGAUCCUCAAGAAGCACCUGGGACCUCCUUGAGUGACUUGGCCUGAAGAAGACCCCAGAAAACAGACAGACUCACCCAUGCACCCUAAGCAGCAAGCAGCCUUGCCCAUUCACCUGUGCCGGAAUGAGAUGGUGCCCUGUCAACUUUCAUAGGUACACUACACAGAUAGAAGAAUAGGGAUGAUAAAAGAUAUCUCCACUGCAGCUGAAGUCCUACUUGGCAUGGUGAGGAGAGAACUUGUCUCCUUUUAUAACCAGGUAAUGAGAAGUUCUACUUAUUUAUCUUCAUUUGAGUUAUUUAAUGAUGCACAUCUAUGUUUUAAAUACUCAACCUGUAUACUCCAUACCCUUCUCCAUACUGUCCCUGAAGUCCUCAUAGCCAAAUCCAUUGGGGGUACUUCUUAGUGUAUCUUAAUAAUUUUUCAUGCUUAACAACAGGUUUAUUCCAUAGUAAAAGGUGAAUAAAUUCUGAGUAAAAAGAUGUGUAUUUUCUUAGCAUUUUUGUGAUAAAAAUUUAAUGCUUUCUAAAAAGAAAGCAUUUUUAAAAUAUAUAUAUAUAUAUAAACCAAUAUUAUCUGUAAAAUGCCCAAACUGGAAAGAAUCUCAGUGUUCAUCAACAGAUGAAUGGCUAAGAAAUGAUGGCACAUCAGCAUAGCACCAGAGUGUACAGCAGAAAUGAAGAACACUCUACAAUCAUGCAACAGUGAGGACAAAUCCAGACACCCUGGUGAGUAAACAAAGUCAGACAUAAUACAAAAUAUACUGUAUGAUUUCAUUUUUAUAAAGUAAAAAGUAAGCAAACUAAUCUAUGGUGUUGUUAAAGUCCAAAGAGUAGUUAACUGUAGAGUGUAGGAAUGACUGCAAGGAGUGAGGGGAGGCUGUAGGAUUCCAGGAAAGUUCUAUUUCUGAGUCUGUUGACAAGAUGGGUGUAAUUACAUUCUUAAAAUUCAAUAAACUGUUCACUAAUGA
This is a long non-coding RNA of Ictidomys tridecemlineatus (thirteen-lined ground squirrel), 2131 nucleotides long. RefSeq lists it as uncharacterized. NCBI's taxonomy places the organism in Eukaryota, Metazoa, Chordata, Mammalia, Rodentia, Sciuridae. The record is from RefSeq and is a predicted model, not a curated record.